UACGGGGGGGGCAAGCGUUGUUCGGAAUUACUGGGCGUAAAGGGCUCGUAGGCGGCCAACUAAGUCAGACGUGAAAUCCCUCGGCUUAACCGGGGAACUGCGUCUGAUACUGGAUGGCUUGAGGUUGGGAGAGGGAUGCGGAAUUCCAGGUGUAGCGGUGAAAUGCGUAGAUAUCUGGAGGAACACCGGUGGCGAAGGCGGCAUCCUGGACCAAUUCUGACGCUAAGGAGCGAAAGCCAGGGGAGCAAACGGG
This 253-nucleotide ribosomal RNA is filed under the name uncultured bacterium. RNAcentral's name for it is "partial 16S ribosomal RNA". It matches the Rfam family "Bacterial small subunit ribosomal RNA", at positions 524 to 776 of the family's 1533-position model. The record is from RNAcentral.